GCUGGGUGUGGUGGUGCAUGCCUGUAACCCCAGCAACUCAGGAGCUGAGGUAGGAGAAUCACAAGUUUAAGAUCAGCCUCAGCAACUUAGCAAGACCCUGUCUCAA
RNAcentral lists this small RNA (106 nucleotides) under Marmota monax (woodchuck). The record is from RNAcentral. Lineage: Eukaryota; Metazoa; Chordata; Mammalia; Rodentia; Sciuridae.